RNAcentral lists this ribosomal RNA (538 nucleotides) under Bifidobacterium pseudocatenulatum. RNAcentral describes it as "bacterial SSU rRNA". It matches the Rfam family "Bacterial small subunit ribosomal RNA", at positions 160 to 710 of the family's 1533-position model. The record is from RNAcentral. Lineage: Bacteria; Bacillati; Actinomycetota; Actinomycetes; Bifidobacteriales; Bifidobacteriaceae.
GUGGUAAUGCCGGAUGCUCCGACUCCUCGCAUGGGGUGUCGGGAAAGAUUUCAUCGGUAUGGGAUGGGGUCGCGUCCUAUCAGGUAGUCGGCGGGGUAACGGCCCACCGAGCCUACGACGGGUAGCCGGCCUGAGAGGGCGACCGGCCACAUUGGGACUGAGAUACGGCCCAGACUCCUACGGGAGGCAGCAGUGGGGAAUAUUGCACAAUGGGCGCAAGCCUGAUGCAGCGACGCCGCGUGCGGGAUGACGGCCUUCGGGUUGUAAACCGCUUUUGAUCGGGAGCAAGCCUUCGGGUGAGUGUACCUUUCGAAUAAGCACCGGCUAACUACGUGCCAGCAGCCGCGGUAAUACGUAGGGUGCAAGCGUUAUCCGGAAUUAUUGGGCGUAAAGGGCUCGUAGGCGGUUCGUCGCGUCCGGUGUGAAAGUCCAUCGCUUAACGGUGGAUCUGCGCCGGGUACGGGCGGGCUGGAGUGCGGUAGGGGAGACUGGAAUUCCCGGUGUAACGGUGGAAUGUGUAGAUAUCGGGAAGAACACC